RNAcentral lists this long non-coding RNA (757 nucleotides) under Vigna radiata. RNAcentral describes it as "long non-coding RNA (VRAD_LNC001185)". Lineage: Eukaryota; Viridiplantae; Streptophyta; Magnoliopsida; Fabales; Fabaceae. The record is from RNAcentral.
ACUCUUUUGAUGGCAGGAUCUUUUAAAUGUCUUUCAUUUUAUAUUUUAUAUUUAGGUUUAAUAAUUGAGGAAGUCUAUAUUUUUGGGGAGAAUAUUAAUUUGGUCUUAUUUUUUUCGAUGUAUCAACUAGGUCCUACUUUUAUGAAAAUUGUAACAAUUCGGCAUUUGCCGUUAAAUUGAGUCUAACGACAUUAGUACGUGAUUGACAUCGCACAUUGGACUUUUAUCACUCCUGUCACAUCAACAAUUUGGCCCCUAGCUACCAUGCGCCGCCACCGCCAUUCUCACCAACAGUCAUCCCCUCAACUUUCGCCGUGAACCUCCAUGGCCGCCGCAAGCCCUCUGUCACUCUCUUCCUUCAUCAAACGCAAGCUUCUUCAUCUGGCAAUCAUGGCAGUCCCACCAUCCAUCACCCUCGUCACUACAGCGUUGCCGCACUCGAAUUGCAAGCCGUCGUGACUUGUCUUCCAUUAUCACCAUCUUCGCAAGCUUUGCAACCAAUCAGAAUCGCAGCGAACAUCAACAAAAUCAAAACCAGAGAAUUGCAAUUCAGGAAAUCUCGCAAGCGCCACCCAAACGCAAUCACACCAUCAACAACGACGAGCUCCUCCUCCAUUCGCGAAACCCUUCGCGUCACCAUCGCCCUCGCACCAUACACGUCAGGUCGCCGUCACCUCGCAAGCUUCCUUGCUGCUACCAUCCAAGCUUCGUUCAUCAUCAAUGCGGACCUGCAAUUACCAAAUUCUAGAAACCCAGC